RNAcentral lists this long non-coding RNA (678 nucleotides) under Cricetulus griseus (Chinese hamster). RNAcentral describes it as "lncRNA (ENSCGRG00000025009.1)". Lineage: Eukaryota; Metazoa; Chordata; Mammalia; Rodentia; Cricetidae. The record is from RNAcentral.
GCCAUAGAAUCUUGUCGACAUAAAAGAAAUGACUUAACCUACCAAGGAACUGGUAUAAAAUGAAGGCCAACCUAAUGCUGUGUGGUGCUGGGGAACAACCCUGUUCUGGGAAAGCUAACAAUGAAUGUUUGAUUGGUGUACUUACUUAUAUGCCUGAGGCUGCAUGAAGAUCUCUCAAAGAGGGGCUAUAAAAGGGAAAGCCUGUGCCAAGGAAAUGUGAAGAGAAUGUGGCCAGGGCCUCUCACAACUGACCUGCUCACCAGCACAGGCAGGCAAUACAGAACAGUCCAGAAUAAAAUGAAGUUCACUUUAGAGGUGUUUCCAUCAAUCAACAAUGAUCUCAGUGGAGAAGCAGGACACAUUUAUGAAUCAGAAUCGGACAAGAUUCUCAAACUGCCAGUGUGUGUCUCUGCCUCCACUAUUACCUGCCUACAGAGAGCACACGAUGCACUCAGACGCUUAUUACUGUGGAUGGGAGGAAGGAACAGAGGGUGCAAGUGUUUCAAAAAAAAUCGAACUUUAAGCCACAGGCUGAAGGAUCAGAUGUCCAGAAGUGGGGUAGAAGGCUUUUCUGAAACUUGGGAAUAUGAAUUCUCUUCCUUCUCUGCAAGAUGCUGUAGCUUUGAUUCUUCAGAAGAUGUGUCAUCUGGAGUAGCACCUGCAGCAUCAGGAACAUAG